GUUGACCUUGAAUUAUGCCGAGCGACGCCUACAAACCCACCGCUCAGGCCUUCACCAGGAUUGUUCCCAUUCCACUUCCUUGCCCAGUCUUAGGCUUCAUUCCUUUUUCUUGCUAACGCUGCUUCCUCACCCGUCUCUUGUCUCUGCGUCUUCUUUUUCCAUUUGUCCCUGGCAGCCAUCCGCAGAGAGAAGACCUUCCAGAAACAACAGGCUUCCCUUUCCUAAAGUUCUGCUGCCUUCUCUCAUUUUCAAAAUUAACCCCAAACUCCUUAGGGUGGCAUUCAUUUUUGUGACCUCUCCAGUUUCUAGCCAACACUAGGAAAGGGCAUUGCCAGGCCAGAACACACUGUGCCCUCUGAAGACCACACGCCCUUUACCACCUGUGCCCUUUGCUUGGAAUGCUUUUUCUUCCCUUUCUCCUUGUUUGCCUGCCUAGCUCCUACUCAUCCUCUUAGCUUCAUAUCCUUUGUGAUGUCAUCCUUGAUUCCCCUUUAGGCAAACACUUCUUGUGAUUCAUCACUGUGUCCUCUGUACCCGGCAACAA
RNAcentral lists this small RNA (544 nucleotides) under Pan troglodytes (chimpanzee). Its description in RNAcentral is "sense intronic". The record is from RNAcentral. Lineage: Eukaryota; Metazoa; Chordata; Mammalia; Primates; Hominidae.